GACGUAGGGGGCGAGCGUUGUCCGGAUUUACUGGGCGUAAAGGGCGCGUAGGCGGUCUGUUAAGUCAGGAGUGAAAUCUCCGGGCUCAACCCGGAAACUGCUUUUGAUACUGGCAGGCUAGAGUAGCGAAGAGGUGAUUGGAAUUCCCGGUGUAGCGGUGACAUGCAUUGAUAUCGGGAGGAACACCAGAUGCGAAGGCGGAUCACUGGUCGCUAACUGACGCUGAGGCGCGAAAGCGUGGGGAGCAAACAGA
RNAcentral lists this ribosomal RNA (253 nucleotides) under uncultured bacterium. RNAcentral's name for it is "partial 16S ribosomal RNA". It matches the Rfam family "Bacterial small subunit ribosomal RNA", at positions 524 to 776 of the family's 1533-position model. The record is from RNAcentral.